AAGAGGUGCGAGGGGCUGAAAGGCGCCGAGCAUAUUGAGAGGGUGUGGUUUUGAUGAGGGGGUUGUAACAGUUGUGAUGACUGCUACAUGCUCCUUUUCACUUACUAUUCACGAUCUUCAACCACGUAUUGAGCAAGUGAUUGCGACACA
Molecule: unclassified non-coding RNA, 150 nt
Filed under: soil metagenome
Description: partial internal transcribed spacer 1
Source: RNAcentral